Molecule: ribosomal RNA, 433 nt
Filed under: uncultured bacterium
Lineage: Bacteria
Description: partial 16S ribosomal RNA
Rfam family: Bacterial small subunit ribosomal RNA
Source: RNAcentral
AGCGAACGCUGGCGGCAGGCCUAACACAUGCAAGUCGAACGAACCUUUCGGGGUUAGUGGCGGACGGGUGAGUAACACGUGGGAACGUGCCUUUAGGUUCGGAAUAACUCAGGGAAACUUGUGCUAAUACCGAAUGUGCUCUUCGGGGGAAAGAUUUAUCGCCUUUAGAGCGGCCCGCGUCUGAUUAGCUAGUUGGUUGAGGUAAUGGCUCACCAAGGCGACGAUCAGUAGCUGGUCUGAGAGGAUGAUCAGCCACAUUGGGACUGAGACACGGCCCAAACUCCUACGGGAGGCAGCAGUGGGGAAUCUUGCGCAAUGGGCGAAAGCCUGACGCAGCCAUGCCGCGUGAAUGAUGAAGGUCUUAGGAUUGUAAAAUUCUUUCACCGGGGACGAUAAUGACGGUACCCGGAGAAGAAGCCCCGGCUAACUUCGU